Folsomia candida is the source of this 836-nucleotide long non-coding RNA. RefSeq lists it as uncharacterized. The record is from RefSeq and is a predicted model, not a curated record. NCBI's taxonomy places the organism in Eukaryota, Metazoa, Arthropoda, Collembola, Entomobryomorpha, Isotomidae. The transcript is spliced from 2 exons.
ACGAGAGGGUGUGUUGCAACGUCCUCAAUUUUGUAUAAAUCCGGCUUCGCGCAAUCACAUACAAAUCAUUUUCUCAAGGCUUACCACAUCCUCUGAAAUUUAGCUGCCAGAAAAUAAUUUAUAAUGCAUCCAAUAAAUGUCUUCAUUGUCGGCUGCUACGCGACAAUCACGAUAUUCCAGAUUAGUCAGGCAUCUGAAGGAGUACCUCAGUAUCUUCUACAAUACGUCGCUGACCAGGAUUGCACUUCCGGGAAUCAUACAAUAGGUCUCAAUCCAACAUCUGACAAGGAGCAGGACUUGAUUCCCCCAAGAAAUGGUGAGGACGUGUACUUCAAAGUGAUGGGUUUCUGGAGGGUAACUCAAUACGAUGGGUACGACCAUAGUGCCAACUCAUACUUUUACGGAGUCGGGGAUGAGUGCCAAUUCAUGCUUUAGAACUACAAUUCCCGAUGGACGGCAACUCGACUUGGGGAUCCGCUUCAGAUCGAUAAAGAAAUUUUACUCUAUCGUGAUACAUAUUUUUAUGGCGUGCCCUUUAAGGCGAAACGUUCAACGCCAUCAAUAAUUCCACCAGUGAAAAUUGGGUCGCUUCUUUUCAGCGGACAGUAUUCUUGGGGCCUGUUCUCUGGCCCGAACUACUCGGGACAAACGAUGUGUCUCCAACCCGAGAUAGAAGGAAGAAAAUGGGGAAUGACGUAUAAAUUUGGUUUAGAUUUUAGCGUAGCUAGCAUAAGGUUAAAUUGUUAAUUUGUUUAAUUUAUAUUUUAAAAAAUCAGUAUUCAUACGUUUUAUUAGUCUUGGAAGCAAUAAAUGCUUUAAAAUAUUAUUUAUUAAUA